Molecule: non-coding RNA, 80 nt
Organism: Xenopus tropicalis (tropical clawed frog)
Lineage: Eukaryota; Metazoa; Chordata; Amphibia; Anura; Pipidae
Source: Rfam
CUUCAUGGUUAGUUUUGCAGGUUUGCAUCCAGUUGUUCUUCUGGCUCACUGUGCAAAUCCAUGCAAAACUGAUUAUGGCA